GGAUAGCUCAGCUGGUUAGAGCUUGGUGCUGGUAAUGCCAUGGUUGCAGGUUCUAUCCCCGUAAGGGACA
Non-coding RNA from Podarcis lilfordi (Lilford's wall lizard), 70 nucleotides. The record is from the annotation of a GenBank genome assembly. NCBI's taxonomy places the organism in Eukaryota, Metazoa, Chordata, Lepidosauria, Squamata, Lacertidae.